Labrus bergylta (ballan wrasse) is the source of this 81-nucleotide small nucleolar RNA. Ensembl annotates it as small nucleolar RNA SNORD53/SNORD92. The record is from Ensembl. NCBI's taxonomy places the organism in Eukaryota, Metazoa, Chordata, Actinopteri, Labriformes, Labridae.
GAGGAAUGAUGAUGCUGAGAAGGUUUCGCUAAACAACCUGAUAUCAUGUGAUGUCACAAUUUCUCUUGGCUGUCUGACCAA